RNAcentral lists this RNase P RNA (492 nucleotides) under Stenomitos rutilans HA7619-LM2. RNAcentral describes it as "RNase P RNA component class A". It matches the Rfam family "Bacterial RNase P class A". Rfam says of the family: Ribonuclease P (RNase P) is a ubiquitous endoribonuclease, found in archaea, bacteria and eukarya as well as chloroplasts and mitochondria. RNAcentral also lists the same sequence under 1 other name. The record is from RNAcentral. Lineage: Bacteria; Bacillati; Cyanobacteriota; Cyanophyceae; Leptolyngbyales; Leptolyngbyaceae.
GAGAGUAGGUGCAGGCAGUUGCGGAUUGCAGUCAAAAGCUGUGAUUCGAGGAAAGUCCGGGCUUCCGAAAGACCAAACUUGCUGGGUAAUGCCCAGUGCGGGCGACCGUGAGGAUAGUGCCACAGAAAGAUACCGCCGCUUAGAAGUUAUGAGUUAUGAGUGCUGAGCUUUGAAUGACGAAUUUCUAUUACGAACUUAAAACUCAAAACUUAAAACUCAAAACUACUGCGGUAAGGGUGCAAAGGUGCGGUAAGAGCGCACCAGCAGCAUCGAGAGGUGCUGGCUCGGUAAACCCCGGUUGGAAGCAAGGCUGUGGAACAAGGGUUGGUCUUUGACCCGUUCCAUGCAAAGGUGGGUUCGCUCAUCUCUGCCCGUCCGCUUGAGGAGCUUGGUAACAAGUGUCCCAGAUAGAUAACUGCCCUCUUAAAGACUGUCCUUCUAAAGGCAUCGCGUUUAAGAGAACAGAACCCGGCUUACGUCCGACUCUCCUCA